UGGCUAUUUGUAUCAUUUUAUUUUGUGGCAGUUUUGUUUUGUUCAGAUCAAACAUCUACCACACACGAGGCACUGUUUUCAUUUACACCAAAGCCCCUUUACACCAUUCUGUCAGUGGGAAGGGCCCAUAAAUGAGAGUAAAUGUAAUGUGGGCCUACUUGCAGGUCCCUUAACGCUACCAGAGUGAGAAGGAAGAGUCUUGUGUAAUUAUGAAUCUAGCCCUAGAUCUGUCUCACACAGCAUGUCUACAAAUAAUUUCUCAAAGGCGUUUAGCAGCCUCUUUUAUCCAAAAUCUUUGCAGUGACUCUGCCUAGAGACCAACCAACUUGCAAGCUUUCCCGUGUAUCUAUAAUUACUCUGCCAGCCUUGUGUGCCUGUUCUGAUGAACUGUGUUGUAAUUCUGAAAGCUUUCUAAAGUUCAUCUUUUAUCUGAUAUUUAGAGACUGGACUGAACACUAUAACAGCUUCUUUCUUAUCAGAAACUGGAUGGUGAUCCUUUAAUACUUAAUACAAGGUGCCUUUCCUGAGCAGUUAAUUGAGCCUCAUCAGUUGCUUUAGAAAAUUAUUAAUUCUGAACCAUAAAUACUGACAACCUAAAUGUGGCACAUUGAAAAAUGGAGAGAGAGCAGAAAAUAAAUUGAAUUUACCAUAAUCAACACAGUAUCCGUUUAAGAUGCUGCAGAAUCUGUCAUACUGGAAUGUUAGAGUUCAGGGACCUUACCACAAAAUAUAACACCAGCUUUCUGCACAACAUAUGGGGCCUUAUUUAUAUUCCAUAAUAAAGUAGUGACUCUGAGCAAAUAAGAACACAGGCAGAGCAAGCUACCAGACAGACAAUGCUCUGCCACAGUACCUCAAUCUUAGAGGUGGUACCUCCAGAACUGAGAUAAAUCUCCAUGAUCAUCCAAGUUUCUCUGCAGUGACUGCUGGGGGAAAAAAAAGGACAAUUGUGCCAUGGAAAAAUGAUUCAAGGCCUCAAACCAUUUGACAAAGGUAAGGGAAUAGCUAAUGGAUUUUGUUUUACUGUUUUCAAGUGCCCUACAAAAAAAAACUCUGUUCUGGCAAGUUUCUCUAAAAUGAAUUUGUUUGAAUGUUCUAGGAAAUAAGCCACGUAGAACUGGUUCCUCUUACGUGGUUUAAUCAGUGGGAACUUUGUUCCUCCUCUUUGUAGGAAUGAAUGUACUCCUCUAAGUAUUUAUUGCACUUGUACUUUGUAGUAACUUGCAGCCACUACCAGUCUGGCUUGGAUUUGAACCUGUGACACUGAGGGCUUCUCUGCCCAAAUCCCCCAAGAACAUUAUUUGGAAAACUACCAACACAGUGACGCAUAUUCCGUAAUGGAGCAGGUAUUGUGGUUUCUUUUACUGUGGCUUUAAGGGAAACCUUUUUAAUCCAAAACCAGAAUGAUCUAUGAAGCAUUUUAAACCGAGACAUUUGCAACUAUUUACUUCCAGUGCAAACACUGUGAAAAGUCUAAAUGCUAAACU
Non-coding RNA from Pelodiscus sinensis (Chinese soft-shelled turtle), 1487 nucleotides. The record is from RefSeq and is a predicted model, not a curated record. Lineage: Eukaryota; Metazoa; Chordata; Testudines; Trionychidae.